CCGCUGAAAUUAAGCAUAUAAUUAAGCGGAGGAAAAGAAACUAACCAGGAUUCCCCUAGUAACGGCGAGUGAAGCGGGAUGAGCUCAGGAUGUGAAUCUGCGCUUUUGCGCCGAGUUGUGGUCUGUCGACGGUGACACUAACAGCCGGGCCAAGUUCCUUGGAAAAGGACAGCUGAGAGGGUGAGACUCCCGUCCGCCCGGUAGUGUGAGUUGCCAGUCAAUGAGUCGAGUUGUUUGGGAUUGCAGCUCUAAGUGGGUGGUAAAUUCCAUCUAAAGCUAAAUAUUGGUGGGAGACCGAUAGCGUACAAGUACCGUGAGGGAAAGAUGCAAAGAACUUUGAAAAGAGAGUUAAAGAGUACCUGAAAUUGCUGAAAGGGAAGCGAAGGAAACCAGUGUUUGCCUGGUCAUAUUUCCCUGGCCGCUUGCGGCUUGGGCGCUGUGUCCGGCUUGAGUUGUGCUUGGUUACCGGCCUUGGAAGAGCGCUGAAGGAGUUGACUUUAGUUGCUAGCAUUGGACGGUGACUGAGCAGGACGAAAUGGUUUUCUUUACCCCGUCUUGAAACCGGGACCAAGG
Molecule: ribosomal RNA, 573 nt
Filed under: Psammodictyon constrictum
Lineage: Eukaryota; Bacillariophyta; Bacillariophyceae; Bacillariales; Bacillariaceae
Description: eukaryotic LSU rRNA
Rfam family: Eukaryotic large subunit ribosomal RNA
Source: RNAcentral